RNAcentral lists this ribosomal RNA (433 nucleotides) under uncultured bacterium. RNAcentral's name for it is "partial 16S ribosomal RNA". It matches the Rfam family "Bacterial small subunit ribosomal RNA", at positions 29 to 507 of the family's 1533-position model. The record is from RNAcentral.
AACGAACGCUGGCGGCAUGCCUAACACGUGCAAGUCGAACGAGACCUUCGGGUCUAGUGGCGCACGGGUGCGUAACGCGUGGGAACCUGCCCUUAGGUUUGGAAUAACUCCCCGAAAGGGGUGCUAAUACCGGAUAAUGUCUUCGGACCAAAGAUUUAUCGCCUUUGGAUGGGCCCGCGUUGGAUUAGCUAGUUGGUAGGGUAAAAGCCUACCAAGGCGACGAUCCAUAGCUGGUCUGAGAGGAUGAUCAGCCACACUGGGACUGAGACACGGCCCAGACUCCUACGGGAGGCAGCAGUGGGGAAUAUUGGACAAUGGGCGAAAGCCUGAUCCAGCAAUGCCGCGUGAGUGAUGAAGGCCUUAGGGUUGUAAAGCUCUUUUACCCGGGAUGAUAAUGACAGUACCGGGAGAAUAAGCUCCGGCUAACUCCGUG